Molecule: long non-coding RNA, 404 nt
Filed under: Gallus gallus (chicken)
Lineage: Eukaryota; Metazoa; Chordata; Aves; Galliformes; Phasianidae
Description: long non-coding RNA NONGGAT005719
Source: RNAcentral
GUUUAAGUAGGCUCAUGUUUGCUGUUACAGAAUGCCUAUGCAUCCGUGUCAAGAACCAAGGCUCACUGGCUUAUGCAAUAUCCUGGCAUGUUAAGAAGUCAUUACCUCCUCCUACACACAGUUCACAAGACACAAUGCAACAGGUGGAUGAAAGACAUGUUAUGUGGGGGUGUUUUGGAAAAAUGAGGCAACAAUGAACCAAAGAGGACAGUGGAAAAGCAGCAGUCAUUUUGCCACCUACUUUUAUGGUCAUUAGUCAGAGCCCACUAGAGACAGCUACGAGCCCCCUGCUCAAGACAGAAGACCCCCACGGAUGUAAUGGGGAAUCUGAAUGGGAGGAGACCCCUCGCAGCAGUCUGCCACCUGCCCACCCCCACCUUGGUGCUGAUGAGGCUUCAUUACUG